UACGAAGGGGGCUAGCGUUGCUCGGAUUGACUGGGCGUAAAGGGCGCGUAGGCGGAUAGUACAGUCAGGCGUGAAAUUCCUGGGCUCAACCUGGGGGCUGCGUUUGAUACGUAUUGUCUGGAGUUCGGAAGAGGGUCGUGGAGUUCCCAGUGUAGAGGUGAAAUUCGUAGAUAUUGGGAAGAACACCGGUGGCGAAGGCGGCGACCUGGUCCGAUACUGACGCUGAGGCGCGAAAGCGUGGGGAGCAAACAGG
Molecule: ribosomal RNA, 253 nt
Filed under: uncultured bacterium
Lineage: Bacteria
Description: partial 16S ribosomal RNA
Rfam family: Bacterial small subunit ribosomal RNA
Source: RNAcentral